CGAAGCCGUAGCGAAAGCGAGUCGUUAAUAGGGCGAAAUAGUCAGGAUGCUGCAGACCGAAACGAAGUGAUCUAUCCAUGAGCAGGUUGAAGCUGGUGUAAGAGCCAGUGGAGGACCGAACCGCUGACGUUGAAAAGUCUUGGGAUGACUUGUGGAUAGGGGUGAAAGGCCAAUCAAACUUCGUGAUAGCUGGUUCUCUCCGAAAUAUAUUUAGGUAUAGCCUUGUGUUGUAGCAUAUAGGGGUAGAGCACUGAAUGGGCUAGGGCUGCUUACCGCGGUACCAAACCCUAUCAAACUAUGAAUACUAUAUGUGGAAUCACAGGAGUCAGGCGGUGGGUGAUAAAAUCCGUCGUCAAGAGGGGAACAACCCAGACUAACAGCUAAGGUCCCUAAGUUACAUCUAAGUGGAAAACGAUGUGGAGUUACUGUGACAACCAGGAGGUUGGCUUAGAAGCAGCCAUCCUUUAAAGAAAGCGUAACAGCUCACUGGUCUAGUGAUUCUGCGCGGAAAAUAUAACGGGGC
This 523-nucleotide ribosomal RNA is filed under the name uncultured bacterium. RNAcentral describes it as "bacterial LSU rRNA". It matches the Rfam family "Bacterial large subunit ribosomal RNA", at positions 661 to 1181 of the family's 2925-position model. The record is from RNAcentral.